Molecule: unclassified non-coding RNA, 262 nt
Filed under: Hevea brasiliensis (rubber tree)
Lineage: Eukaryota; Viridiplantae; Streptophyta; Magnoliopsida; Malpighiales; Euphorbiaceae
Source: RNAcentral
GGCUUCUCUCGGUUUGUCUGAUCGGCUCUGUCGAGCUAUAUAUCUAAUGUUGGACUCGAAAGACCGCCUCUAGUUCGGGGGAGUCUCAUAAAAUUCACAUAUAUCAAUAUGUAUGUUCAUUUUUCAACGAAUAGCUAGCUAUUUCAAAGCAAAUUUAAACACGGGAGAUAAAUUUAUGGUCUCCAGAAAUGAAGGUAAGAAAAGAAAAUUCGUUUUUUAGUUUCAUGUCAAAAGGAACAACAAAAGAAAAAAUAAACAGCAG